AUUCCUGCGCUCAAUGUUUUUAAGCUGAGUUUAAGCUAAAUGAGAAAUCAAGCAAGCCUAUGCUUAAGCCUGGUUAUGUUCACUUCUGCGUCAUAUAUCUUUUAUUGAUUGUGAAUGUUAUUUUUCCCUAUAUACUGCUUUCUCUUUGUGUUUAUCUAUAUCUAUUGUAAUCUUAAUGAGGAAAUUCUUACAGGAUAUGUCACCGUAAUUACUUUAGAGUUGUAGUUCCAUCUAGAGUUAUGUUUUCAAACUUAAAAUUGUAAUGCUUUUUAAAAAUCUUUUUCAGAUUGUGAACAUAAAACUGAGAAGUCUUGUGUAGAAUUCGCUUGGCUGAUAUUACAUAUAUUUAGAGUUAUUUUGUAUGUGGAAGCAUCGGAUCAAAUAAGCAAAGAGGUGGACGUUAUAAGGCUUCAAGUAGGAGAAUUAUCUCGACUCGUCACACCGGUCGGUGAGAAGAUUCCGUUAGAAGUUGACAUAUUUCAAGUGGUCGUGUUAAUCAAUUAUCCUGAAACGACUCCGAUGGGUUUCUUUACAGUUUCUCGAGAAUUGCUUGGACCAAUCUUUUCCACUUUUGUCACCUACGGCAUUGUUAUGGUCCAGAUAAGUUCAAAUUUCAAUUACUAAUGAAGAUAAUAUUUUAAAUUGUACUUGGAGUUGUGAUGACCGUCUCUCUCUUAAUGUGGCUUAUAUGACCUUCGCGUGCUUAAUUCCUUAGUUAUGUUGUUAUCAAUGAGAUUCAUAUAGAUAUACCUAAACACAAUAACGAG
Molecule: long non-coding RNA, 767 nt
Organism: Pieris rapae (cabbage white)
Lineage: Eukaryota; Metazoa; Arthropoda; Insecta; Lepidoptera; Pieridae
Exons: 4
Source: RefSeq, a predicted model, not a curated record